CCUACGGGGGGCAGCAGUGAGGAAUCUUCCACAAUGGGGGCAACCCUGAUGGAGCAACGCCGCGUGCAGGAUGAAGGCCUUCGGGUCGUAAACUGCUUUUAUUUGUGAAGAAUAUGACGGUAACAAAUGAAUAAGGGUCGGCUAACUACGUGCCAGCAGCCGCGGUCAUACGUAGGACCCAAGCGUUAUCCGGAGUGACUGGGCGUAAAGAGUUGCGUAGGCGGUUAGUUAAGCGAAUAGUGAAACCUGGUGGCUCAACCAUACAGACUAUUAUUCGAACUGGCUAACUCGAGAGUGGUAGAGGUAACUGGAAUUUCUAGUGUAGGAGUGAAAUCCGUAGAUAUUAGAAGGAACACCAAUGGCGUAGGCAGGUUACUGGACCAUUUCUGACGCUGAGGCACGAAAGCGUGGGGAGCGAACCGGCUUAGAUACCCCAGUAGUC
This 442-nucleotide ribosomal RNA is filed under the name uncultured bacterium. RNAcentral's name for it is "bacterial SSU rRNA". It matches the Rfam family "Bacterial small subunit ribosomal RNA", at positions 338 to 795 of the family's 1533-position model. The record is from RNAcentral.